CCUUGAUCAUCUCUAACAAAUACAGGGGAUCUCUGGCAUGACGUGACACUUCCUACGGCUCCCAUGGGCUCUCAGAAGGCGGGAAAAAGCUGAACGAUGUAAUUCCAUCCCCAGGCUGAAACACAUUAGCGCGUUUGGCAAGUGCUCUAUCAGAGGGCCAUUAGACUGAGGCUCGUGCAUGAGGGGAUAGCAUGCUUUUACUUUCACUCUCUUUGUAAUAAAAAAAACGAUUUCCCGGUCGGAAUAUUAUCGCUUUUUUACGAGAAAAAUGGCAUAAAAAUUGAUUUUAAACAGCGGUUGACAUGCUUCGAAGUACGGUAAGGGAAUAUUUAGAUUUUUUUUUGUCACAAAAUGCGCCGUGCUCGUAACCCUUCUUUCCCCUUUCGGAUAGUGUCUUGAACGCACGAACAAAACGCCGCUAUUUGGAUAUAACAAUGGAUUAUUUGGGACCAAACCAACAUUUGUUAUUAAAGUAGAAGUCCUGGGAGUGCAUUCUGACGAAGAACAGCAAAGAGCAUAUAACCAUCCAUGGAGAUCAGCGGACAAAGGGCUGGACAACAGGCUGCAUGGUUGCCAAGAAAGUG
This 584-nucleotide long non-coding RNA is filed under the name Salmo salar (Atlantic salmon). RNAcentral describes it as "lncRNA (ENSSSAG00000117782.1)". Lineage: Eukaryota; Metazoa; Chordata; Actinopteri; Salmoniformes; Salmonidae. The record is from RNAcentral.